UUAUUUAGGUACAAGAAGCAUACAAUAAACUGUACAUGUUAAAGGCCUACAAUUUGACACUCCAGAUGUGCUGACCCCUGAGAUUUCCCCAAAUGUGGGAAACUUGACUGCUUAAUUUGUGGUAGUAGGGGACUGCAUUCAUGCUCUCCCUUA
Small nuclear RNA from Prolemur simus (greater bamboo lemur), 153 nucleotides. Its record names the gene U1. It matches the Rfam family "U1 spliceosomal RNA". From Rfam's summary of the family: U1 is a small nuclear RNA (snRNA) component of the spliceosome (involved in pre-mRNA splicing). Its 5' end forms complementary base pairs with the 5' splice junction, thus defining the 5' donor site of an intron. The record is from Ensembl. NCBI's taxonomy places the organism in Eukaryota, Metazoa, Chordata, Mammalia, Primates, Lemuridae.